RNAcentral lists this ribosomal RNA (506 nucleotides) under Clonostachys rosea. RNAcentral describes it as "eukaryotic LSU rRNA". The stretch from base 124 to 277 matches the Rfam family "5.8S ribosomal RNA". The record is from RNAcentral. Lineage: Eukaryota; Fungi; Ascomycota; Sordariomycetes; Hypocreales; Bionectriaceae.
CCUACUGUUGCUUCGGCGGGAUUGCCCCGGGCGCCUCGUGUGCCCCGGAUCAGGCGCCCGCCUAGGAAACUUAACUCUUGUUUUAUUUUGGAAUCUUCUGAGUAGUUUUUACAAAUAAAUAAAAACUUUCAACAACGGAUCUCUUGGUUCUGGCAUCGAUGAAGAACGCAGCGAAAUGCGAUAAGUAAUGUGAAUUGCAGAAUUCAGUGAAUCAUCGAAUCUUUGAACGCACAUUGCGCCCGCCAGUAUUCUGGCGGGCAUGCCUGUCUGAGCGUCAUUUCAACCCUCAUGCCCCUAGGGCGUGGUGUUGGGGAUCGGCCAAAGCCCGCGAGGGACGGCCGGCCCCUAAAUCUAGUGGCGGACCCGUCGUGGCCUCCUCUGCGAAGUAGUGAUAUUCCGCAUCGGAGAGCGACGAGCCCCUGCCGUUAAACCCCCAACUUUCCAAGGUUGACCUCAGAUCAGGUAGGAAUACCCGCUGAACUUAAGCAUAUCAAUAAGCGGAGGAA